GACGAACGCUGGCGGCGUGCUUAACACAUGCAAGUCGAACGGAAAGGCCCUGCUUUUGUGGGGUGCUCGAGUGGCGAACGGGUGAGUAACACGUGAGUAACCUGCCCUUGACUUUGGGAUAACUUCAGGAAACUGGGGCUAAUACCGGAUAGGAGCUCCUGCUGCAUGGUGGGGGUUGGAAAGUUUCGGCGGUUGGGGAUGGACUCGCGGCUUAUCAGCUUGUUGGUGGGGUAGUGGCUUACCAAGGCUUUGACGGGUAGCCGGCCUGAGAGGGUGACCGGCCACAUUGGGACUGAGAUACGGCCCAGACUCCUACGGGAGGCAGCAGUGGGGAAUAUUGCACAAUGGGCGGAAGCCUGAUGCAGCAACGCCGCGUGCGGGAUGACGGCCUUCGGGUUGUAAACCGCUUUCGCCUGUGACGAAGCGUGAGUGACGGUAAUGGGUAAAGAAGCACCGGCUAACUACGUGCCAGCAGCCGCGGUGAUACGUAGGGUGCGAGCGUUGUCCGGAUUUAUUGGGCGUAAAGGGCUCGUAGGUGGUUGAUCGCGUCGGAAGUGUAAUCUUGGGGCUUAACCCUGAGCGUGCUUUCGAUACGGGUUGACUUGAGGAAGGUAGGGGAGAAUGGGAUUCCUGGUGGAGCGGUGGAAUGCGCAGAUAUCAGGAGGAACACCAGUGGCGAAGGCGGUUCUCUGGGCCUUUCCUGACGCUGAGGAGCGAAAGCGUGGGGAGCGAACAGGCUUAGAUACCCUGGUAGUCCACGCUGUAAACGGUGGGUACUAGGUGUGGGGUCCAUUCCACGGGUUCCGUGCCGUAGCUAACGCUUUAAGUACCCCGCCUGGGGAGUACGGCCGCAAGGCUAAAACUCAAAGGAAUUGACGGGGCCCCGCACAAGCGGCGGAGCAUGCGGAUUAAUUCGAUGCAACGCGUAGAACCUUACCUGGGUUUGACAUGGAUCGGGAGUGCUCAGAGAUGGGUGUGCCUCUUUUGGGGUCGGUUCACAGGUGGUGCAUGGCUGUCGUCAGCUCGUGUCGUGAGAUGUUGGGUUAAGUCCCGCAACGAGCGCAACCCUUGUUCACUGUUGCCAGCACGUUAUGGUGGGGACUCAGUGGAGACCGCCGGGGUCAACUCGGAGGAAGGUGGGGAUGACGUCAAGUCAUCAUGCCCCUUAUGUCCAGGGCUUCACGCAUGCUACAAUGGCUGGUACAGAGAGUGGCGAGCCUGUGAGGGUGAGCGAAUCUCGGAAAGCCGGUCUCAGUUCGGAUUGGGGUCUGCAACUCGACCUCAUGAAGUCGGAGUCGCUAGUAAUCGCAAAUCAGCAACGCUGCGGUGAAUACGUUCCCGGGGCC
Molecule: ribosomal RNA, 1346 nt
Filed under: uncultured bacterium
Lineage: Bacteria
Description: partial 16S ribosomal RNA
Rfam family: Bacterial small subunit ribosomal RNA
Source: RNAcentral